Molecule: ribosomal RNA, 433 nt
Filed under: uncultured bacterium
Lineage: Bacteria
Description: partial 16S ribosomal RNA
Rfam family: Bacterial small subunit ribosomal RNA
Source: RNAcentral
AACGAACGCUGGCGGCAUGCCUAACACAUGCAAGUCGAACGAGACCUUCGGGUCUAGUGGCGCACGGGUGCGUAACGCGUGGGAACCUGCCCUUAGGUUCGGAAUAACUCCCCGAAAGGGGUGCUAAUACCGGAUAAUGUCUUCGGACCAAAGAUUUAUCGCCUUUGGAUGGGCCCGCGUUGGAUUAGCUAGUUGGUAGGGUAAAAGCCUACCAAGGCGACGAUCCAUAGCUGGUCUGAGAGGAUGAUCAGCCACACUGGGACUGAGACACGGCCCAGACUCCUACGGGAGGCAGGAGUGGGGAAUAUUGGAAAAUGGGCGAAAGCCUGAUCCAGCAAUGCCGCGUGAGUGAUGAAGGCCUUAGGGUUGUAAAGCUCUUUUACCCGGGAUGAUAAUGACAGUACCGGGAGAAUAAGCUCCGGCUAACUCCGUG